Molecule: ribosomal RNA, 253 nt
Filed under: uncultured bacterium
Lineage: Bacteria
Description: partial 16S ribosomal RNA
Rfam family: Bacterial small subunit ribosomal RNA
Source: RNAcentral
UACAGAGGCCUCGAGCGUUAGGCGGAAUCACUGGGCUUAAAGCGUGUGUAGGCGGACCCCUAAGUACCUUGUGAAAUCCCACGGCUUAACCGUGGAACUGCUCGGUAUACUGGGUGUCUUGAGCCACUUAGGGGCUACCGGAACAAAUGGUGGAGCGGUGAAAUGCGUAGAUAUCAUUUGGAACGCCAAUGGUGAAAACAGGUAGCUGGGAGUGUGCUGACGCUGAGACACGAAAGCCAGGGGAGCGAACGGG